UACGGAGGGUGCGAGCGUUGUCCGGAAUCAUUGGGCGUAAAGGGCGCGUAGGUGGCCCGGUCAGUUCGUGGUGAAAGCGCGGGGCUCAACCCUGCGUCGGCCAUGAAUACUGCCGCGGCUGGAGCACUGUAGAGGCAGGCGGAAUUCCGGGUGUAGCGGUGGAAUGCGUAGAGAUCCGGAAGAACACCGGUGGCGAAGGCGGCCUGCUGGGCAGUUGCUGACACUGGGGCGCGACAGCGUGGGGAGCAAACAGG
This 254-nucleotide ribosomal RNA is filed under the name uncultured bacterium. RNAcentral's name for it is "partial 16S ribosomal RNA". It matches the Rfam family "Bacterial small subunit ribosomal RNA", at positions 524 to 776 of the family's 1533-position model. The record is from RNAcentral.